Long non-coding RNA from Malania oleifera, 691 nucleotides. RefSeq lists it as uncharacterized. The transcript has 2 exons. The record is from RefSeq and is a predicted model, not a curated record. NCBI's taxonomy places the organism in Eukaryota, Viridiplantae, Streptophyta, Magnoliopsida, Santalales, Ximeniaceae.
AGUUCACGACUGUCAAGAUGUGGCCAUGAUCAGCUCCCAUGUCCUCUGCAAUUUCAAUGCAAUGGGAUGCUACCAGUGCAGCUGCAGAAGCAAUUGCAGCUGAUGUUUUUGGGGCUGCCUUCUGUCUGAUGGCUGAUGUUUCGGGGGAGGUUGCAUUUGAGGCAGUAAGUGCUGCGACGGCAGCAGCAACACCUGCCACGGAUACAGCGGCGUGCACCUGUGCAUUCUGCAGCAAGCACCAAAAAUGAGAAACAUGAUGGUGAUGACAGGGUGCUGAUAAGGACUGGUUCAAUUAGGUACCCCAGUUUUAAAUAAUUGUUGAUUGCAUACGAAAUCUGGGUUGAGUGCUUGAUGAAGGAGAAACAGUUCCUGCACAGAUUAAACAGCCGUUAAAAAGUAGUGCCGGGCAGUGCACUUCGUUCUGAAUGCCUUGGGAAUUAAGCUUCCAACUGAUCUUGAAUGUUUGCUUGCAAGGGGGAAAAUCCAGCCGCCCAUAGUCAAUUCAAGGGAGCUGAACGUUGUUGUGCUCUUUUUUAUCAGCACAAACCAAGAUUGAAGCUACCAAGUCACAUAUUUUAUAAACUCAUUAUCUUUUUAAGACAAGUAAAUUUUCUUCUUUUUAUUAAUCAUGUGUCUUAGAAGAAAGACAAAUUUUAAUGAUCAUAGAAUGCUUGUCCAGGUUUGACUCAAA